Molecule: ribosomal RNA, 381 nt
Filed under: uncultured bacterium
Lineage: Bacteria
Description: bacterial SSU rRNA
Rfam family: Bacterial small subunit ribosomal RNA
Source: RNAcentral
GUAGUCCUAACUGUAAACGAUGGACACUAGGUGUGGGAGGUAUCAACCCCUUCCGUGCCGACGCUAACGCAUUAAGUGUCCCGCCUGGGGAGUACGGCCGCAAGGUUAAAACUCAAAGGAAUUGACGGGGGCCCGCACAAGCGGUGGAGCAUGUGGUUUAAUUCGACGCUACGCGAAAAACCUUACCUGGGCUCGAACGACUGGUGUUAGUCCUGUAGAAAUACGGGAUGACCCGCAAGGGAGCCAGCCGAGGUGCUGCAUGGUUGUCGUCAGCUCGUGUCGUGAGAUGUUGGGUUAAGUCCCGCAACGAGCGCAACCCUCGUCCCAUGUUGCUACCCCUCACGGGGAGGACUCUUGGGAGACUGCCGCGGAUAACGUGGA